This 342-nucleotide unclassified non-coding RNA is filed under the name soil metagenome. RNAcentral's name for it is "partial contains 5.8S ribosomal RNA, internal transcribed spacer 2, and large subunit ribosomal RNA". The stretch from base 1 to 120 matches the Rfam family "5.8S ribosomal RNA", at positions 35 to 154 of the family's 154-position model. The record is from RNAcentral.
GAUGAAGAACGUAGCGAAAUGCGAUAAGUAAUGUGAAUUGCAGAAUUCAGUGAAUCAUCGAAUCUUUGAACGCGCAUUGCGCCCGCCAGCACUCUGGCGGGCAUGUCUGUUCGAGCGUCAUUUCAACCAUCAAGCCCCCAGGGGCAUGUGCUGGGGCCCUGCGGCUGCCCGCAGGCCCUGAAAACCAGUGGCGGGCUCGCUAGUCACAUCGAGCGCAGUAGCACAUCUCGCUCUGGGCGUGCGGCGGGCUCCUGCCGUGAAACCCCCCACUGUAACCCCAAAGGUUGACCUCGGAUCAGGUAGGAAUACCCGCUGAACUUAAGCAUAUCAAUAAGCGGAGGA